UACGAAGGGUGCAAACGUUGCUCGGAAUUAUUGGGCGUAAAGCGCACGUAGGCGGCUCCAAAAGUCGGAUGUGAAAUCCCUCGGCUCAACCAAGGAAGUGCACCCGAAACUGCGGAGCUCGAGUAUGGAAGAGGGUCGCGGAAUUCCCGGUGUAGAGGUGAAAUUCGUAGAUAUCGGGAGGAACACCAGUGGCGAAGGCGGCGACCUGGGCCAAUACUGACGCUGAGGUGCGAAAGCGUGGGGAGCAAACAGG
RNAcentral lists this ribosomal RNA (253 nucleotides) under uncultured bacterium. RNAcentral's name for it is "partial 16S ribosomal RNA". It matches the Rfam family "Bacterial small subunit ribosomal RNA", at positions 524 to 776 of the family's 1533-position model. The record is from RNAcentral.